CGGGAGGCAGCAGUUAGGAAUCUUCCACAAUGGGCGAAAGCCUGAUGGAGCGGCGCCGCGUGAGGGAUGAAGGCCCUCGGGUUGUAAACCUCUAAAAGGGGGACGAUAAUGACGGUACCCCUUGAAAAGCACCGGCUAACUCCGUGCCAGCAGCCGCGGUAAUACGGAGGGUGCAAGCGUCAUCCGGAAUCACUGGGCGUAAAGGGCGUGUAGGCGGCCUGUUAAGUCCGUUGUUAAAGACCGGGGCUCAACCCCGGCACGGCGUUGGAUACUGGCAGGCUAGACGGCUGGAGAGGAAAGUGGAAUUACCAGUGUAGCGGUGGAAUGCGUAGAUACUGGUAGGAACACCCAUUGCGAAGGCAGCUUUCUGGACAGCCCGUGACGCUGAGGCGCGUAAGUGUGGGGAGCAAACCGGAUUAGAUACCCGGGUAGUCCACACCCUAAAC
RNAcentral lists this ribosomal RNA (446 nucleotides) under uncultured bacterium. RNAcentral describes it as "bacterial SSU rRNA". It matches the Rfam family "Bacterial small subunit ribosomal RNA", at positions 342 to 807 of the family's 1533-position model. The record is from RNAcentral.